CAGAUUAUCUCUACCAAUAUACAUCUUUUUUAGAUAAGAAAUUACUAUUAAAACUGUCAAACAGAAUCCAACCCAAAUUUUUUACAUGGGCUUUGACCAAGGUCCAUCAUUAGCAACCAAAUAGAAAAAAAUUGAGAAUACAAGCAGGUGGAAAAGAAUAGCUAAUUCUUAUCGGAUUGGUUCUAUCUUGAAAAGCCAAAAGUUUUCUGCCCCC
This 214-nucleotide long non-coding RNA is filed under the name Elaeis guineensis (African oil palm). RNAcentral's name for it is "long non-coding RNA (EGUI_LNC001533)". The record is from RNAcentral. Lineage: Eukaryota; Viridiplantae; Streptophyta; Magnoliopsida; Arecales; Arecaceae.